ACCUCUUCAGACUCAAUAUUUUUCUUAGCCUUUGUUGAGCAAACGCUCAACAUGGCUCACAUCAUGGUUUUUUUUUUUUUUUUUCUUUAGUUACUUAUCCAGAUGAUGGGAUCAUGUGCAUUCGUGAUGAAAUAAUGUGUCCUGUGUUGACUUUGAUUUUAAAGACAUUUGCAUUGUCCCCACAUAAAGGUUCUAUGUCAUCUAGCUUUUGAAGAUAUAUUGAUUUUAUUUUUUUAUUUGUAUUCUGCACCACAUAUGUGUGUCUAGUACUUGUGGAUGUCAGAGAGGCAACUAGAGUUAUGGAUGAAUGUGAGCCACCACGUGGGUUUUGGGAACUGAACCCACGUCUUCUGCAAAAAUAUUAAAUGUUUUAACCACUGAACCAACUCUUCAAUCAUCUGUGCCAUUUUUGUGGACAGUGGUAGUCAUUACUAAAAUACCAUCAAGGCUUUAUUUAACCAUAGAUUUAAAAUUAAUGAUAUCAUUCUUCUCCAAGCAUUUAACUUUCAGAAAACAGAAAACCUGUGAAAACCCAGGAAGACAGAUAGCAUUUAUUUUGAUUUUUAUGAUGACAUCUCACUCUGUAGCUUAGCAUCGCCUUGAGUUCUCAUUCUGUCUCAGUUUCUCAAUAGCUAGGAGAUUUGAUGUUUUUAUUGAACUCCUAUUUCUAGAUCCUGGUACAGUGGUUGGCACCUAUGGUGCUAGUUACCUAUUCCUUGAAUGAAUGAAGACUACAGAUAAGAUCUUUCUAGUAGACAGAGAAAUUAUAAUACAGUCUACCAGACCUUAAAUUUUCACUCACAUAACCCUGCGAAAAUAUGGCUAUUAAGUUCUUUUCUUUUAUUAUUUUGUUUCCUGGUCUUCCUCCAUCCAUGAACUUCUCAUAUUUACCGUUUGAAAGAAUUAAAAGAUUAAGUUUCUUAUUUAUUUGUGUAGGUGUGUUUGUGUGUGAGGGUUUCUCUUCCAUGGUGCACAUGUAAAGGUUAGUGAAUAACUUUUGGGAUUGUUCUCCUGCCAUAUAGGUACCGAGGAAUUGGACUCAGGCCAUCCAGUUUGGCAGCAAGUAACUUUACACGCUUAGCCAUCUCUAUGAAUGUGUACUACUGAUAGGGACACAGCCUUGUCAAGGACCCCAGAGGAGGCACAGACCCAUAGAGGAACAGCAAAGCCUUCCAUCUCAUGGUGAAGCUUGAGGAAAAAUGAAUCCGGGUCAUGUGUGGAUGUUGAUAUGGUAUAUAGAAAUUGUCCUUCAUAGUUUUCUCCUCCAGAUAUUUACAGCCUAAAGACUGCUCCCAAAUAGAGACUGCUCCUACCAUAAUUAGCCAGUCCUGUCUCCUUGAUCUAUCUGUACACCUUGGCUGUAUACUUUGGGAUCCAUAAAUCUUGCCUCCUCACCUAUCUGUAUGUAACCCCAUCUCCAAAUUCAGCUGUAUGCAGUAAUCCCAUUUCUCGAUCAAUUCUACAUAAGAAACAUGCUGGGACUGGGCUGGGGGCUUCAGUUUCUCUGGAAGAGACCCCAGACCACAUGACUCUAGCUCCCUAGCUACCACCCUUUCUCUUCUUCCUCCCUUCUUUUCUUCCUCCCUUCUCUUCUCUUCUCUUCUCUUCUCUUCUCUUCUCUUCUCUUCUCUUCUCUUCUCUUCUCUUCUCUUCUCUUCUUUCUUUCUUUCUUUCUUUCUUUCUUUCUUUCUUUCUUUCUCUUUCUCUCUCUUUCUCUCUCUCUCUCUCUCUCUCUCUCUCUCUCAUUCUUUCUCUCUCUCUUCCCCUCCCUCUCUCCCUCCCUUUCUCCCUCCCUUCCUUCCUUUCUUUCCUCUAUCUCUUCCCCUCCCUCCCUCCUUCCCUCCUUUCCUUCUUUGUCUCUCUCCUCUGUCUCUUUCCAUCUUUAUGUCUUUUCUCCUCAUUGUACUCCAGGCAGGUCUGUCCCUGGAGCUGAAAAUGGAUGUAGCACACUAGAUACUAUACUUUUAAUUUUUAAUAAUAAUAAUAAUAAUAAUAAUAAUAAUGUCAAAAUUUGCCAGCAUUCUUAUUAUUAUAGAAAGCAUUAUUGUGUUAGUGGAGAUAAUUAAACUCCUUUGACCACAUCUCACUAAAAUAAAAGUACUGAUGACUUUUUUUCAGUGUAAAGAGAAGACUUUUCCCCUUGUGGUUAUGAUUUUAAGAAUAGGUAAGGCCUUUUCUUAUCUGUUAAAGUCUUAAAAAUUGCAAGUGGCAAAUCCAUCAACCAUAUGUGUGGAGUAGCUUCAGAGAUGCCCGUAUUUGCUUAAAGCAAUUUAUUUUCUUAGAAACUUUGCAGAUCAUUAGGGAUUCUACAACUAGUCCUGAAAUCUUUCACUGAAUUUAGUUAGGACUUCUGGUACCAGGCAGAAGUCUGCCCAAUUUUUGCUGAGGUUAGAGGGUUGAAAACAUCACACAGAAGCACAGAGGGAAAACAUCUGAAACAGGAAAGGGACAAUGAGCCUAAGGUGCUGAGGCCAGAAAGGCCAGUGAUGUCUUCUCUUCAACUCUAUAUACUGUGGAAACAAUGUAACAAAGAUCAUAGUCUUAUGGAUGAACAUAAAGCCUUCCUUAUUGCAACAUCUGCCUUAUACAGAGGACAGUGAAUUUAAAAC
Molecule: long non-coding RNA, 2609 nt
Filed under: Mus musculus (house mouse)
Lineage: Eukaryota; Metazoa; Chordata; Mammalia; Rodentia; Muridae
Description: long non-coding RNA chr9:91490170-91492779
Source: RNAcentral